This 3141-nucleotide long non-coding RNA is filed under the name Manihot esculenta (cassava). RNAcentral's name for it is "long non-coding RNA (MESC_LNC002531)". Lineage: Eukaryota; Viridiplantae; Streptophyta; Magnoliopsida; Malpighiales; Euphorbiaceae. The record is from RNAcentral.
CCUGGAGAGAAGAUCUACAGGACACAGAAAUGUCCUCACCAGUGUCUACAUAAAAAUUUCAAUUUGGCAAAAGGUAAAAAAUUUUCAUUGCAGGUGUAAAAAAUUCUCCAGAAUUAGACAUUACUAGCCCUCCUCCAGACCCUCUAGCUCAACUCCAGCAGAACUCAAAUUAUUGAUCUUUUGCGAGAAAAUUUAGGAUCUUUUUCAGGUCGGUGGCAGCUGAUUAAAGCUUGCAGCCAAAUAGCAAUCAUAUCACUUUAUUUCUUUAUUUAUUUUAAAAAUAGCCUUAUCAGGAAUAUUGCAACAAAUGAAGCAGCCUUUUUUCUUUUAUAAAAAAAAAAAUUAUAUCUUCGUGCUUUGGCGGAGUUCUUCAUAUUAAAUUUAUACAUAUAAUAAUAGAUGAUAACUGGUGUGGCAGUUCAAGUGCAGGAAGUCUUUGCUUUAAAUAAUAGUAACAGCUUCUGCACAUGUGAUCAUACCUGACAAUGCAAACAAAACUAGCAACAGCUUCUGUAUAUAUUGACAUAACAGUGAUGUGAUUGUGGAAGCCAGUUGAGAUCUUGAAUCAACCCAAGAGAUGAUCCAUGAUAAAUAUGAUAAAAAAUACAACAGGAAAUUUAAAAUCAAACCGCUCUAUGCAACAGUCAUUUUUGUUUUUGAAUUUAUUGUUCUUAGUGCUCAGUAAUGUAAAAAGAAUUAAAUUUUGGGAGUUGUCAAGGGCAGUAAAAAGGGGUAAAAUUAUCUUAUAUUUUGAUGUACAUGAUGAUUUAGCAUCAAACCAAGCACAAGAACAAAACUGCUGCCACCAGCAAUACCCCCUCACACUCCCACAUGUGGCACUGGAUAAUUCAAUUAUUCUACCAACGCAACUUUUAAGGCAGAACUCAUAUGCCCUGCAAAUCUGAUUAUUGCCAACACUACCUCAUCCAAAUCAACCGCCAAAAUUCAGAAUUUAAACAAGUUCACACCUGAACAGAAUCAAUCCCACUUGAAUAAAACACACUAAUGGCAUAAAUCUACUUCCAUGGUCAGGCUAAUUGUUGGUUUAAAACCUCUUAUUCCCUAACCCUUAAAACCAUUUAUGCCUUUCAAAACAGCAAGUGAAACAUGCUAACAGUACUCAACAAAGAAUCACAUAGAACCUGAGGAACUUGUAUGUAUAAUAGACUGUAAUGACAUGCUUGAACUUACUGGCCAAACAUGCUUAUAAACCUCACUCCACCUCUUUGGUAAAAGAAGAAAUUUAGUGUUUAGAUUACAAGGGAAGGAGAGAAGUUUUCCUUUUUUGUCGAAGAAGGAGAGAAGUUUACUAAACAAGACAUCACAUGCUGUAUCAGGCUUAAUGAAUGAGAUUAGAGUGCUGAAUAGAACGAUGAUUUAUAUUGGCGGUUAUGGGGGUUUUUUUUUUCAUACAAACAGAAAAACUAAGUGAAUGAGAAUUCCAUAGAAAGAGUGUGAUUCAAAAAAAUUGUGUCCAGAAAUAGCCACAUAAAAACAAGAUAAAGUCUCUAGAAUAAAAACAAGAUAACUUCUCCAGGCAUAAAAACAAGAUGCCUUCUACAGGUGUGAGCUGCUGAAACAGGGUUCUUGCUUACUUGGCUGCAGGUGGAAAGUUAGGGAGACAAGUGUUCUGGUGUGGGGACUUAAGCUGCCAUACACAAAUAGGAGCCGGAAAUUGAAAGAGCAGAAGAGAGCAACGGUGGAAUUCAGAAGUGGAAAGGGAAGGACACGGUGAGUUCUUAAUUGUAAUCCCUAUGGUGGUUUUCUAAUUCUUCUUAUCUUGCUUUUGUUUGCAUGAUAUGAUUUUGCUUUGCUCCCAUUUGCAGAGUAUGUAGUGAUUCAAUAGUAAUCAAACACUUAAAAUGGAAAUUAAACCUAUUCUCAGUGGAAGUGAUGUGUUUGUUUUUCAAUUCAUUCUCGUUGUUCAUUUUCUACAAUAAUUUGCUGUUCAAAGUGUUUGCAUGAAAAGAAUUCGAUUCUCCAUAAAUUAUAAUUUGUGCACCUCUAAAUUACUUUACCAUUGAACCCUAAAUCCUUCAAAGAAAUCACCAAGCAAACUUAAAGCCUCAUACCAAUCCCCAACCCCACGAAUUCCUAAAUGUUCAACAACUCUCACAUUACAGAAUCAUGUUUAAUUAUGCAAAUUCUCAAAUGUUUUCACCAAAUUAAUACAAAAAUCAGCAUCAAUUCACAAGACACCAAGAACAGAAGCUUUUUUCUUCAUAGAUGACACCUGGUGGGGCAUCACAAACUAACAACAAGAAUCCUAACUGCAUAAUUUAAAAAUCAACAAAGAGCACAUGGAGAUUGUAACAGAACGAAAUUAAUAGAACAAGCCAUCCAUUAAAUGGAGUAAACAGAAUAGAUUUCUGGUUUUAUUUGGGUAUGAACAGCACCUUCUGCAGGUAGAUCAAUUCCAGAUGUUUAAAUAAAAGACACCUACAUCACAGAUGUAGAAGAAAAAGAAGAAAGAGGAGGAGGCUAAGUAAUUAGACGAAGAGAUCAGAAAUACCGAGCAGAUAGUGACGACGGCGAUUUCAGUAAGAGGCUUCUCGAUUGCACGAGCGAGCAGCCGUUAUUGACGGCGCCCGUCGGUUACUAGCCCUCACUAUUGAGGGGGCUGAGCACCUGCAUUGACAUGUGUCCUCCCGUAAGUAUGAACAUGGGGCUCACGCUACUGUAAAAGACCAUCGUUUUGUUAGAUCAAAUCUCUGAAGUUGAUGCAUGUGGGAUUUGGAUACAAUUUAUAGGAGGUGACAGUGAUAGGCACAGGUUUGGUGAGAGCACAGGCGAUUGAAUCAAGCCUCCAAGUUUCAAUUUUCGGAAACAGUUGCAUUUAGUAUCUUUCUGAUGUAAGUGUGCCCCAUUUGGUAGAAAGAACUGCUGUUUGAGGAUAGACUGAGAAGACGAACAUCUUCGCCGGCGCCGGUGAAAAGCAAAACAGGUUCUUUUUCAUCUUCUUCUUUUCUUUUUCUUUCAAUGGGAAAAAAAAUUCAGGGAAUUAAAGCAAAAUGAAGCUCGCCGGAGUUGCAUUGACGAGUGGGUUAUGGGUUUUGGAGGAUUCAAUGUUGAGUAAUGCCUGAUAGGAAGAAAGAAAGAGCGGUAAGAUGGGAGGAAAAAGAGAGGGGAGGAUGAGGGAGG